UGCCUAUUGGCCCAGUGGUCAAGGCGUCUGACUGUUAUCUCGAAACAGAAACAUCAGAAGAUCCCUGGUUCGAUCCCAGGAUAGGCAG
RNAcentral lists this transfer RNA (88 nucleotides) under Annulohypoxylon maeteangense. Its description in RNAcentral is "tRNA-Asn". It matches the Rfam family "tRNA". From Rfam's summary of the family: Transfer RNA (tRNA) molecules are approximately 80 nucleotides in length. Lineage: Eukaryota; Fungi; Ascomycota; Sordariomycetes; Xylariales; Hypoxylaceae. The record is from RNAcentral.